UGGGGAAUAUUGCACAAUGGGCGCAAGCCUGAUGCAGCCAUGCCGCGUGUGUGAAGAAGGCCUUCGGGUUGUAAAGCACUUUCAGCGAGGAGGAAGGGUAGUGUGUUAAUAGCACAUUGCAUUGACGUUACUCGCAGAAGAAGCACCGGCUAACUCCGUGCCAGCAGCCGCGGUAAUACGGAGGGUGCAAGCGUUAAUCGGAAUUACUGGGCGUAAAGCGCACGCAGGCGGUUUGUUAAGUCAGAUGUGAAAUCCCCGCGCUUAACGUGGGAACUGCAUUUGAAACUG
Molecule: ribosomal RNA, 288 nt
Filed under: uncultured bacterium
Lineage: Bacteria
Description: partial 16S ribosomal RNA
Rfam family: Bacterial small subunit ribosomal RNA
Source: RNAcentral